UGUUUAAUAGUGCAAUUAAUCACAAUUAAUUUUUUUAAUCGCAGUUAAUUUUUUUGAGUUAAUCACAUGAGUUAACUGUGAUUACUUGACAGCCCUAUUUGUAAUAUAUUAAUUUACCAGUUGAUCACUUGCUGGAUAAAUUUAAGAUCUAAAAUGAUUCAAGUCCUUGAGAUGCUGCAGGUCCCUUAGAUUCCUGAAUUAAUCUCACUGCAAAAAAAGGGCAAGGGCUCUGCCAGUGAUGAGUCCUAAUGUUCAGCUUGUCAUAUAGGGAUUGCUGAAUCCCAGUGAAAAAGGAUUGCUCUGGAAAUAUUAGCAAACAGUGUAUGGACAAGGUUUAGGAAGGUAUGAGAUGUUCUGUUUGUUACGAGUGAAACUAGUUUUUGGAUGUGUUCUGGGGGACGUUUUUUAGACCCUUGUCUACUUAUUGUAAAUUUAUUCUGUGAAUUUACUCAAUUGCAAGUUCAGGCAGGUAAUCCUGGAGCAAGGCCAUACAUGCAUUAAAUAGGUAAUAAUAAAACUCUUAAACCUGUCUCUGUGAGCUACUGGGAGCCAAUUCAGUAUCAAGUUGAAUACAACCUGCACUAAUAAAAGAGAGAUUUCUUUAAGGUAUUUCUUCAGAUUCUUUUGUGUAUUUUAAUGACUAAAUCUGAACAUUUUAAUCUUUUACAUGAAAUGAGAACAAGCUUAAGGAGAAUGAAGACCGAAAUUACUAGUACUGUAAUAAAGUAUGGAGAGAUGUCAAGCAGUACUCCACAAAGAUCCUCCAGUUCAGCCACUCUGGUCUCCAAAGCCCGUAUGCAGUCUGAGGGCCAGGAGCUCCUUGCAAUGAAUGCACACACAUGCCACCCACCCAUAAGGUUUUCCCAGAAUGAGCCAGAAAGAAGAUAAACUGAGGUCAAAACAUACAGAGGAGAACUUCAGCCUACUCUGUGGAGCCUCUGCCUACAUUGUCCCCAGGAUUCCAUACCAUUAAGUGAAGCAUUCUUGGAGCACAGCUGGUUUAUGUCUGUCACAAGCAAUGGAAGGACAUUUCCGAGCUGGAAAUUACUGAAAGGAUCCAGUGCUGAUGGCUUUUGGAGCUGCCAAUCCAGAGAGCAGCUUUUGGCUCCUGCUGAGUACAGUAUGUCUGCAGUUUGACUAUUUAUCUCACUUUUUACAUACUUGAGCUGAAAAAAAAAAAAAGGAUUGUGCAAACACUCACAGCUCAUUCCCUCACACCUCUUCCUCCCCACCCUCUCCUUAUCAAGUAUUGCAGCAGCACUAAAAUGUGUCAAAUAAGCUGAAUGAAGCUGUCUAGUUUUGAGAUAUUAACAGGGAAUUACAUCAUGGUUAAAAUGUAUGACUUUGAAAUUAUCAUUAGCUAAUGAUUAUGUGAAAAAACAAUAAAACUCUCCCAACCACAAUGGGCAAUGCCAGACUAAAUUACAGUUAAAUGCUUUAGGCCCAAAUUUUCAAACUUAGGUGCCUAAAGAUGGGCAUCUAAAGCCAGUUAGGCAUUUGAGUACGUGAACUGAUGUUCAGAGGUGCUGAGCUUAAGGUGCUUAAAAGCAGCUGGUGAUCAGCUCAUCUGUGGGGGAAGGGGGGAAAUAUCAGACCAUGUAUUUAGAUGCCUAAAUAUGGAUUUAGGUGCCUAACUUCAGGCAUCCAGUUUAGAAAAUGUUGGCCUUCAGACUAUCUGGGGCUAAAGGAGAGUACCUCCAGCUUCUAAGCGGCAAGGAAAAAGUGAAAUAUAUAUUCCAGGAUUUUGCUGCUGGGUGUAGAAGAAGAAGAGAUCAGAAUUAACAACAGGGAGGCAACGUCUCCACACCAAGUACAUUCUGUUUAUCUUGGCCUAUCGCAGAUAGUUCUACAGAGGCAGCACACCCUGCUUCCAUUGGUUCAGUAGAAGGUCAGGAAUUUUUGAACCAGAUUGUAGUGAGAUUGAAGGAGAUCUGCUAAAAUAAAUGCUGUUACUGUUUGUUCUACCUUUUUUAUUAAAUUUUAAAUUGCUUCUUAACGUUCCUUCGGCUUAAAGAGCCCUUGUUUGUCUGCCCAGUCAUAUAAAACAAGAGUAAUCUUGGCUGUUUAAUCUCUAUGAUAUAGUUCUUUAUGCAUUCUUCUCAUUCUCAGUCUCUCCCAUGCCCUUUGUUAAAGCCACUUCAGCUUCAACCAGUUGUUCCUCUCCAUCACAGUCUUCGUUUCUUCUCUCUCUGCCACUACGGUUAUUCAGUAAAAGUAUGUUUAUACAAGGAGGAAUGCUAUCUUCCUGCCCUGGUCAUUUUAGCUCACCUGUUGGUCAAAACCAUUCACAUCCGCCUGCUUCUCAGACUCCAUGGAGACUGCAUGUAAAGCUGAAAUGAGGUGACAAAAACAUCAUAAAAAGGUCUGUUUGCUUCAGGUCAGAUAUUGAGGAACUCCUGAUAUGUAGCCACCAGGUAAGUGGAAGUAAACAUCCUUCUGACUAUACAGGAUAAAGAAAGCUCACAAUAAUGUCUCUUGUUUCUUAUCUUUAGUCUUCAAUGAGGUGUCACCAGAUGUCAGGAACUGGAAUGAGCUUCACCCUCCUCCACCUCCCGCCCCUUUUCACUGGCAUAUUAUACCAGCUCAACUGAUAUAUCAACUGAGUAAAGGUGUAGCAUAUGUCAUGUUUGACAGAGAUGAAAUACCCAUUUAUAAUUUCUUUAAUCAAUGCUUUCUUUCUCUUCUACUGAUAGGCCGUGGAGAUAGUCAAAACAACUGCUAUGUUUUGCAGAAGCAGGGGGAACUAAACCAGCCUACUUACACCACCACACACCUCUUCGAGUUGCUGUUCAGAUACACAUGUAAAUAGUGUGACAUAAUAUUUGUAAAUACAGAGAAAGAAUGAUGAAAGUUCUAGUCCACCCAUGUCUACUAUACCCUGGACUAGUGCAUAGAUUUCAGGUAGGACUGUACUGAAGAUCCCGCUAAGGAAGGAAUAGUUUAGCUCACGUUAAGUACUAAAAUAAUGGAAAGACUCAUUCACGAAUUAACUAUUUGCAGAUGUACAGAGAAACAUUUGGGAAUAAUCUGAUUAAUAUUGUUUGCUCAGUGCUGCUGCAGGAAAACAAUGGGAGAGAAAUUAUUUGAAUAAUUUGACAAUUGAUGGAAACAACCAGUCUAUUUACUAUUUAUCCUAAAGCAUGUUUUUACUGAAUAGAAAAGCUCUCUAAAGCCUGGAUCUUAUAACUGGAUAUUUGUGGGUGUGUCCCUCAGCCCAUGCAGAGCCAACUGGGCUUCAUGCAAGUGCAAGGGUCUGUCCAUGUGGAUUCAAUUGCAGGGUCAGGCCUUGGCCUCCCUCAGUGUCUGAGCAAGUGGGAUUGCUUGCUUCAUGAUAUACGUGUGGGACUUUUGCAGAGAAGACUGAGGUUCAGUUAAUGCAGUGUUGAGGGCAAUAUAGAUAAAAAGUUGGUAUUUUUAUCUUAUAUCUACCCCAGCUGCAUACAGGUUGUAAGUAAAAUUGUCAAUAAUCAAAAAAUGUUCUGUGCCAUAGAGCCCACACAAACCUGGUAGAAUAUCAACCAUCCUUUGAAAUGAUCAACCAGGGAGAAUUCCACUGACAUGCAGAUAUUUACUUCCAACUGCCACUGAGACCUUAGCUAUAGCAUAUAGCCAGCAGCAAGGCAGCAGCAUCCGACCCCUCCCCAGGCUCUCCCUCAAUUAAACUGGAGACUCCGCCUCUUAUAUUUCCUGUUCUCCCCUCUGCUUCCAGUGCAAGGGGCAGGCCCGGCCUGGCUCUACCCACCAGGGGCAUGAUUCCUCCUUGUUUGUGUGAGAGAGAAGCCAUUCAGCCUCACUACAAACUCCUUUCUCUUAUCAACUCAGCUAAUUAUUAUUGCAAUCUCCUUAGCAGGGAAAGAGGCGUGCAGUGGUUGAAGACUUUAUUCCUUUAAUAUGUAAGGGGACUGUUCCCCCUUACUAACAUUCAGUGGGGGUGUUUUGGUUGGCUAGCUCCCAGUACUAAAAGGGGGAAGGGUCAAUGGGGAAUCAGGACCCUGAGACUGACAGCCCCCAGGA
Molecule: long non-coding RNA, 4014 nt
Organism: Chelonia mydas (Green sea turtle)
Lineage: Eukaryota; Metazoa; Chordata; Testudines; Cheloniidae
Exons: 4
Source: RefSeq, a predicted model, not a curated record